This 496-nucleotide ribosomal RNA is filed under the name uncultured bacterium. RNAcentral's name for it is "partial 16S ribosomal RNA". It matches the Rfam family "Bacterial small subunit ribosomal RNA", at positions 29 to 507 of the family's 1533-position model. The record is from RNAcentral.
AUGAACGCUGGCGGCGUGCCUAAUACCUGCAAGUCGAGCGAACGGACGAGAAGCUUGCUUCUCUGAUGUUAGCGGCGGACGGGUGAGUAACACGUGGAUAACCUACCUAUAAGACUGGGAUAACUUCGGGAAACCGGAGCUAAUACCGGAUAAUAUUUUGAACCGCAUGGUUCAAAAGUGAAAGACGGUCUUGCUGUCACUUAUAGAUGGAUCCGCGCUGCAUUAGCUAGUUGGUAAGGUAACGGCUUACCAAGGCAACGAUGCAUAGCCGACCUGAGAGGGUGAUCGGCCACACUGGAACUGAGACACGGUCCAGACUCCUACGGGAGGCAGCAGUAGGGAAUCUUCCGCAAUGGGCGAAAGCCUGACGGAGCAACGCCGCGUGAGUGAUGUAGGUCUUCGGAUCGUAAAACUCUGUUAUUAGGGAAGAACAUAUGUGUAAGUAACUGUGCACAUCUUGACGGUACCUAAUCAGAAAGCCACGGCUAACUACGUG